GUUGAUGGAAUUUAGUGAUGAUGGUGGUGGAUUUGGUGAUGAUGGUGGUGGAGGGCGGUGGAAAGAGAGAGGGCGGUUGAGCGAUGGAUCUGCGUGGGUGGUUGGCGGCGGCGGAUCUGGUGAUGGUGGAGAGCAGUGGAGAGAGAGAGGGCGGUAGAGGGGGUUCGAUGCGGCGGAAGAGGAAGGCGACUGAUCUGGUGAUUGUGGGAGGCGGCGUGAGGUCUGGAACGACGCGAGAAGGAG
Molecule: long non-coding RNA, 243 nt
Filed under: Salvia miltiorrhiza (redroot sage)
Lineage: Eukaryota; Viridiplantae; Streptophyta; Magnoliopsida; Lamiales; Lamiaceae
Description: long non-coding RNA (SMIL_LNC012437)
Source: RNAcentral